This 245-nucleotide ribosomal RNA is filed under the name uncultured Geobacter sp. RNAcentral describes it as "partial 16S ribosomal RNA". It matches the Rfam family "Bacterial small subunit ribosomal RNA", at positions 524 to 768 of the family's 1533-position model. Lineage: Bacteria; Pseudomonadati; Thermodesulfobacteriota; Desulfuromonadia; Geobacterales; Geobacteraceae. The record is from RNAcentral.
UACGGAGGGUGCAAGCGUUGUUCGGAAUCACUGGGCGUAAAGCGCGUGUAGGCGGUCUUUUAAGUCUGAUGUGAAAGCCCGGGGCUUACCCCCGGAAGUGCAUUGGAAACUGGGAGACUAGAGUACCGGAGAGGAGGGUGGAAUUCCUGGUGUAGCGGUGAAAUGCGUAGAUAUCAGGAGGAACACCGGUGGCGAAGGCGGCCCUCUGGACGGAUACUGACGCUGAGACGCGAAAGCGUGGGGAG